UACCCUUGACAUGUCCGGAACCCUGCUGAAAGGUGGGGGUGCCCGAAAGGGAAUCGGAACACAGGUGCUGCAUGGCUGUCGUCAGCUCGUGUCGUGAGAUGUUGGGUUAAGUCCCGCAACGAGCGCAACCCUUGUCCCUAGUUGCUACGCAAGGGCACUCUAGGGAGACUGCCGGUGACAAACCGGAGGAAGGUGGGGAUGACGUAGUACACCUGAAC
This 218-nucleotide unclassified non-coding RNA is filed under the name uncultured Gammaproteobacteria bacterium. RNAcentral describes it as "contains 16S-23S intergenic spacer region". It matches the Rfam family "Bacterial small subunit ribosomal RNA", at positions 980 to 1200 of the family's 1533-position model. The record is from RNAcentral. Lineage: Bacteria; Pseudomonadati; Pseudomonadota; Gammaproteobacteria.